CCAAUAGCGUAUAUUAAAGUUGCUGCAGUUAAAAAGCUCGUAGUUGAAUUUCGGGACCAUCAUGUCGGUCGUGCCUCGGUACGUACUGGCAUUGUUGGUUUCUACCUUCUGACGAACCAUGAUGUCAUUUAUUUGGUGUCGUGGGAAAUCAGGACUGUUACUUUGAAAAAAUUAGAGUGUUUAAAGCAGGCUCACGCUUGAAUACAUUAGCAUGGAAUAAUGAAAUAGGACGUUUGAUUCUAUUUUGUUGGUUUCUAGGAUCGACGUAAUGAUUAAUAGGGAUAGUUGGGGGCAGUAGUAUUCAAUUGUCAGAGGUGAAAUUCUUGGAUUUAUUGAAGACUAACUACUGCGAAAGCAUUUGCCAAGGAUGUUUUCAUUAAUCAAGAACGAAAGUUAGGGGAUCGAAGACGAUCAGAUACCGUCGUAGUCUUAACCAUAAACUAUGCCGACUAGGGAUCGGAUGAUGUUAAUUUUUUAAUGACUCAUUCGGCGCCUUACG
RNAcentral lists this ribosomal RNA (499 nucleotides) under uncultured Glomeromycotina. RNAcentral's name for it is "partial small subunit ribosomal RNA". It matches the Rfam family "Eukaryotic small subunit ribosomal RNA", at positions 591 to 1092 of the family's 1831-position model. Lineage: Eukaryota; Fungi; Glomeromycota. The record is from RNAcentral.